AACGAACGCUGGCGGCAUGCCUAACACAUGCAAGUCGAACGAGACCUUCGGGUCUAGUGGCGCACGGGUGCGUAACGCGUGGGAACCUGCCCUUAGGUUCGGAAUAACUCCCCGAAAGGGGUGCUAAUACCGGAUAAUGUCUUCGGACCAAAGAUUUAUCGCCUUUGGAUGGGCCCGCGUUGGAUUAGCUAGUUGGUAGGGUAAAAGCCUACCAAGGCGACGAUCCAUAGCUGGUCUGACAGGAUGAUCAGCCACACUGGGACUGAGACACGGCCCAGACUCCUACGGGAGGCAGCAGUGGGGAAUAUUGGACAAUGGGCGAAAGCCUGAUCCAGCAAUGCCGCGUGAGUGAUGAAGGCCGUAGGGUUGUAAAGCUCUUUUACCCGGGAUGAUAAUGACGGUACCGGGAGAAUAAGCUCCGGCUAACUCCGUG
RNAcentral lists this ribosomal RNA (433 nucleotides) under uncultured bacterium. RNAcentral's name for it is "partial 16S ribosomal RNA". It matches the Rfam family "Bacterial small subunit ribosomal RNA", at positions 29 to 507 of the family's 1533-position model. The record is from RNAcentral.